Molecule: ribosomal RNA, 478 nt
Filed under: uncultured bacterium
Lineage: Bacteria
Description: partial 16S ribosomal RNA
Rfam family: Bacterial small subunit ribosomal RNA
Source: RNAcentral
GACGAACGCUGGCGGCGUGCUUAACACAUGCAAGUCGAACGGUAAGGCCCUUCGGGGUACACGAGUGGCGAACGGGUGAGUAACACGUGGGUGAUCUGCCCUGCACUUCGGGAUAAGCCUGGGAAACUGGGUCUAAUACCGGAUAGGACCCUGGGAUGCAUGUCCUGGGGUGGAAAGCUUUUGCGGUGUGGGAUGGGCACGCGGCCUAUCAGCUUGUUGGUGGGGUGAUGGCCUACCAAGGCGAAGACGGGUAGCCGGGCUGAGGGGGUGACCGGCCACACUGGGACUGAGAUACGGCCCAUACUCCUACGGGAGGCAGCAGUGGGGAAUAUUGCACAAUGGGCGCAAGCCUGAUGCAGCGACGCCGCGUGAGGGAUGACGGCCUUCGGGUUGUAAACCUCUUUCAGCACCGGCGAAGCGCAAGUGACGGUAGGUGCAGAAGAAGGACCGGCCAACUACGUGCCAGCCGCCGCGGUAA